GUGCUCACUUUGGCAGCACAUAUACUAAAAUGGGAAUGACACAGAGAUUAGCAUGGCCCCUGUGCAAGGAUAACACCAAAUUUGUGAAGCAUUCCAUUGAAAG
Molecule: small nuclear RNA, 103 nt
Organism: Neofelis nebulosa (Clouded leopard)
Lineage: Eukaryota; Metazoa; Chordata; Mammalia; Carnivora; Felidae
Source: RefSeq, a predicted model, not a curated record